Molecule: non-coding RNA, 119 nt
Organism: Notechis scutatus (mainland tiger snake)
Lineage: Eukaryota; Metazoa; Chordata; Lepidosauria; Squamata; Elapidae
Source: RefSeq, a predicted model, not a curated record
CCAAUCACUGCAUACAAAUCAGCUGAGCUAAAAAUCAAUGGAAUAAAGGAUGGGAAAGAGCAGGGACAGGUGGGCGGGGCCAGCCAGAAGUGGUAUUUGUUGGUUCUCCUAAUUGGCCA